This 347-nucleotide long non-coding RNA is filed under the name Mytilus galloprovincialis (Mediterranean mussel). The record is from RNAcentral. Lineage: Eukaryota; Metazoa; Mollusca; Bivalvia; Mytilida; Mytilidae.
GCCGUACUUUAACCUAUAAUGGUUUACUUUUUAAAUUGUUAUUUGUAUGGAGAGUUGUCUCAUUGGCACUCACACCACAUCUUCCUAUAUCUAUACCUGCCAACUUUUCAAAAUGCCCAUGGGGGUUUUGCGUGCAAGAUGGCUGUCAUACUCCUAAAAAAACUUCAAGGGGGCCUGCAAAUACAUUUUAAUGUUGUUUUUUGGCUUCAUAUACUUUUAUAAGCCUAAAGUCAUUGUAAAAUUAGUUGUUUUGUUUAAAUUGUGGACAAAACUGCUCUUUCAAAAUUUCAAUUUGGGAGCCUCCAUGGGGGAAAUCCCCCGCAAAUAGUGACAGUUGGCAGGUAUGC